GACGAACGCUGGCGGCGGGCCUAACACAUGCAAGUCGAACGGAAAGGCCGUGCUUGCGUGGGGUGCCCGAGUGGGGAAGGGGUGGGUAACACGUGAGUAUCCUGCCCUUGACUUUGGGAUAACUUCAGGAAACUGGGGCUAAUACCGGAUAGCAGCUCCUGCAGCAUGGAGGGGGUUGGAAAUUUUCGGCGGGUGGGGAUGGACGCGCGGCUUACCAGCUUGUUGGUGGGGGAGUGGCUUACCAAGGCAUUGACUGAUAGCCGGCAUGGGAGGGUGGCCGGCCACCUGAGUACUAAGGGACGGACCAGUGUGCUACAUGGGACAACGGUGGGAAGUCUUGCCCAGUGAGCCCGAGCCUGUUGCGGAGGCCCUGCGUUCGUGAUGACGGCCUUCGGGUUAUGAACCGCUUUAGGCUGUGACGAAGCGUUAGUGACGGUAAUGGGUGAAGAAGCACCGGCUAACUACGUG
This 468-nucleotide ribosomal RNA is filed under the name uncultured bacterium. RNAcentral describes it as "partial 16S ribosomal RNA". It matches the Rfam family "Bacterial small subunit ribosomal RNA", at positions 28 to 507 of the family's 1533-position model. The record is from RNAcentral.